AACAGGAUUAGAUACCCUGGUAGUCCCCGCCCUAAACGAUGUCUACUAGUUGUCGGUCUUAAAUUGACUUGGUAACGCAGCUAACGCGUGAAGUAGACCGCCUGGGGAGUACGGUCGCAAGAUUAAAACUCAAAGGAAUUGACGGGGACCCGCACAAGCGGUGGAUGAUGUGGAUUAAUUCGAUGCAACGCGAAAAACCUUACCUACCCUUGACAUGGCUGGAAUCCUUGAGAGAUCAGGGAGUGCUCGAAAGAGAACCAGUACACAGGUGCUGCAUGGCUGUCGUCAGCUCGUGUCGUGAGAUGUUGGGUUAAGUCCCGCAACGAGCGCAACCCUUGUCAUUAGUUGCUACGAAAGGGCACUCUAAUGAGACUGCCGGUGACAAACCGGAGGAAGGUGGGGAUGACGUCAAGUCCUCAUGGCCCUUAUGGGUAGGGCUUCACACGUCAUACAAUGGUACAUACAGAGCGCCGCCAACCCGCGAGGGGGAGCUAAUCGCAGAAA
This 504-nucleotide ribosomal RNA is filed under the name uncultured Janthinobacterium sp. RNAcentral's name for it is "bacterial SSU rRNA". It matches the Rfam family "Bacterial small subunit ribosomal RNA", at positions 771 to 1280 of the family's 1533-position model. Lineage: Bacteria; Pseudomonadati; Pseudomonadota; Betaproteobacteria; Burkholderiales; Oxalobacteraceae. The record is from RNAcentral.